Amphimedon queenslandica is the source of this 847-nucleotide long non-coding RNA. RefSeq lists it as uncharacterized. The transcript has 7 exons. NCBI's taxonomy places the organism in Eukaryota, Metazoa, Porifera, Demospongiae, Haplosclerida, Niphatidae. The record is from RefSeq and is a predicted model, not a curated record.
ACCAACAGUCACAAGAGAAACAGAUGACUCCAUAACUUAUACAAUAUCAAGACAUGCAUAACAAUCAAGGCACAAGAAGAAUCUUCUUGGGGCAUUACCAAGCCCUCCUAGAAUACCUGACAAUACCCAAUCCUUUACUGUAUCUGCAAGUCAGGUAGAUGUACCAAGGGUAACCACUACUUACUGGUUUGAAGCUAUGAAACUUUCUCCUGCCCUCACUUACAAUAUGAAAUACAUCAUUAAAUUUUCUCCUCAUAGUCACUUCUGGGAAUGAGCCAUUUGUCUAUCAUAUUGUCAUUUAUUUAUGUGAUGGUCUUUAUGAAUCAGAUCUUGGAGCUGAAGGAUCAGGAGAGUGCUAUGGGGGUGUUAGUGAUCAUGUUGCUGACUGCAAUCCCAUUUGCUGUAUGGGGAGUAGGAGGAAGUGAUUUUACUUUUCCUAGUAACAUUGCUUAUCUAUCCCAUUGGAGGAGCUAAAAGUCCUCAUUAUGCAGUCAUUGAAUUACACUACAAUAAUCUGGAUCACAUCUCAGGUAUUGUUGAUAGCUCAGGCAUUGAGUUCACAUACAUUGAUACUCCAAGAGAAUAUAAUGCUGGAGUGAUGACUGUUGGUCACAUUAAUGAUAAUACAAUGGUUAUUCCACCCAAUACAGUUGAUUACUCAGUAACUGGCCUUUGUCUUCCAGAAUGCACAAGAAAUUUCCUACCUCCUGAUGGUGUCAAGGUAUUUGCCAACAUGUUCCACACUAAUACAGCAGGAUCAAAGCUUAUCGUUUGUCAUAUUAGACAUUUGGAGUGUUCUCCAGGUGUCUCAAGAUAUGAAGAGCUUAGCCCAAUUGAUAAAAAUUAU